CACUGUCGCCAGGGGAGUCCCGCCGGCAUCGGCGGGGCUGAGAGAGCGUGCGUCGCUGACCCUGGAACCUGAUCCGGUUCACACCGGCGGAGGAAGUGCGACAUGCCUUAUCU
This is a non-coding RNA of 113 nucleotides. It matches the Rfam family "TPP riboswitch aptamer (THI element)". Rfam says of the family: Vitamin B(1) in its active form thiamin pyrophosphate (TPP) is an essential coenzyme that is synthesised by coupling of pyrimidine and thiazole moieties in bacteria.